GGGGCAGAAUCUGGGAGGAGGCAGGUUGAGAUUAAUUUUGAUCCGGAUGGGAGGAUUAACAGAUUGGCUGAUGAAGUGGAUAAGCAGGCUGGGUUGUCUAGGCUGACUUUGUUCUCACCUUGUAAGAUUAAUGUAUUCUUGAGGAUCACCAGCAAGAGAGAAGAUGGUUACCAUGAUUUGGCAUCUCUGUUUCAUGUAAUAAGUCUCGGAGAUACAAUUAAGUUUUCCCUAUCACCAACAAAAACUAAAGACCGCUUGUCGACUAAUGUGCCCG
Molecule: unclassified non-coding RNA, 274 nt
Filed under: Hevea brasiliensis (rubber tree)
Lineage: Eukaryota; Viridiplantae; Streptophyta; Magnoliopsida; Malpighiales; Euphorbiaceae
Source: RNAcentral